GUAGGGAAUAUUGGGCAAUGGUCGGAAGACUGACCCAGCCAUGCCGCGUGCAGGAAGACGGCCCUCUGGGUUGUAAACUGCUUUUAUCUGGGAAGAAAAAGGCCAUGCGUGGCAAAUUGCCGGUACCAGAUGAAUAAGCACCGGCUAACUCCGUGCCAGCAGCCGCGGUAAUACGGAGGGUGCGAGCGUUGUCCGGAUUUAUUGGGUUUAAAGGGUGCGUAGGCGGCUGAUUAAGUCAGCGGUGAAAGACUUCGGCUUAACCGGAGCAGUGCCGUUGGUGCUGGUUGGCUUGAGUGUCGGAGGGGUACAUGGAAUUGAUGGUGUAGCGGUGAAAUGCAUAGAUACCAUCAGGAACACCGAUAGCGAAGGCAUUGUACUGGCCGACAACUGACGCUGAUGCACGAAAGUGUGGGGAUCGAACAGGAUUAGAUACCCCGGUAGUCC
Molecule: ribosomal RNA, 444 nt
Filed under: uncultured bacterium
Lineage: Bacteria
Description: partial 16S ribosomal RNA
Rfam family: Bacterial small subunit ribosomal RNA
Source: RNAcentral